UCAUCAACCCUGUGAACAUACCUAUAACGUUGCCUCGGCGGGAACAGACGGCCCCGUAACACGGGCCGCCCCCGCCAGAGGACCCCCUAACUCUGUUUCUAUAAUGUUUCUUCUGAGUAAACAAGCAAAUAAAUUAAAACUUUCAACAACGGAUCUCUUGGCUCUGGCAUCGAUGAAGAACGCAGCGAAAUGCGAUAAGUAAUGUGAAUUGCAGAAUUCAGUGAAUCAUCGAAUCUUUGAACGCACAUUGCGCCCGCCAGUAUUCUGGCGGGCAUGCCUGUUCGAGCGUCAUUACAACCCUCAGGCCCCCGGGCCUGGCGUUGGGGAUCGGCGGAAGCCCCCUGCGGGCACAACGCCGUCCCCCAAAUACAGUGGCGGUCCCGCCGCAGCUUCCAUUGCGUAGUAGCUAACACCUCGCAACUGGAGAGCGGCGCGGCCACGCCGUAAAACACCCAACUUCUGAAUGUUGACCUCGAAUCAGGUAGGAAUACCCGCUGAACUUAAGCAUAUCAAUAAG
RNAcentral lists this ribosomal RNA (517 nucleotides) under Trichoderma sp. KN10. Its description in RNAcentral is "eukaryotic LSU rRNA". The stretch from base 138 to 291 matches the Rfam family "5.8S ribosomal RNA". The record is from RNAcentral. Lineage: Eukaryota; Fungi; Ascomycota; Sordariomycetes; Hypocreales; Hypocreaceae.